GAUGAACGCUGGCGGCGUGCCUAAUACAUGCAAGUCGAGCGAACGGACGAGAAGCUUGCUUCUCUGAUGUUAGCGGCGGACGGGUGAGUAACACGUGGAUAACCUACCUAUAAGACUGGGAUAACUUCGGGAAACCGGAGCUAAUACCGGAUAAUAUUUUGAACGGCAUGGUUCAAAAGUAAAAGACGGUCUUGCUGUCACUUAUAGAUGGAUCCACGCUGCAUUAGCUAGUUGGUAAGGUAACGGCUUACCAAGGCAACGAUGCAUAGCCGACCUGAGAGGGUGAUCGGCCACACUGGAACUGAGACACGGUCCAGACUCCUACGGGAGGCAGCAGUAGGGAAUCUUCCGCAAUGGGCGAAAGCCUGACGGAGCAACGCCGCGUGAGUGAUGAAGGUCUUCGGAUCGUAAAACUCUGUUAUUAGGGAAGAACAUAUGUGUAAGUAACUGUGCACAUCUUGACGGUACCUAAUCAGAAAGCCACGGCUAACUACGUG
Molecule: ribosomal RNA, 497 nt
Filed under: uncultured bacterium
Lineage: Bacteria
Description: partial 16S ribosomal RNA
Rfam family: Bacterial small subunit ribosomal RNA
Source: RNAcentral